CCUACGGGAGUCAGCAGUGGGAAUAUUGCGCCAUUGGCGAAAGCCUUACGCAGCAACGCCGCGUGAAGGAAGAAGGCUUUCGGGUUGUAAACUUCUUUUCUGAGGGACGAAGAAAGUGACGGUACCUCAGGAAUAAGCCACGGCUAACUACGUGCCAGCAGCCGCGGUAAUACGUAGGUGGCAAGCGUUAUCCGGAUUUAUUUGGUGUAAAGGGCGUGUAGGCGGGAAAGCAAGUCAGAUGUGAAAACUCAGGGCUCAACCCUGAGCCUGCAUUUGAAACUGUUUUUCUUGAGUGCUGGAGAGGCAAUCGGAAUUCCGUGUGUAGCGGUGAAAUGCGUAGAUAUACGGAGGAACACCAGUGGCGAAGGCGGAUUGCUGGACAGUAACUGACGCUGAGGCGCGAAAGCGUGGGGAGCAAACAGGAUUAGAUACCCCUGUAGUC
RNAcentral lists this ribosomal RNA (442 nucleotides) under uncultured bacterium. RNAcentral describes it as "partial 16S ribosomal RNA". It matches the Rfam family "Bacterial small subunit ribosomal RNA", at positions 338 to 795 of the family's 1533-position model. The record is from RNAcentral.